Mauremys reevesii (Reeves's turtle) is the source of this 1978-nucleotide long non-coding RNA. RefSeq lists it as uncharacterized. Lineage: Eukaryota; Metazoa; Chordata; Testudines; Geoemydidae. The record is from RefSeq and is a predicted model, not a curated record. The transcript has 4 exons.
AUGUCUCUGCCAGCAAAAAGAACCCUAAAGCAGUCAUAAAUGAAUAUUGGGGUAUUGCUUCAAUGAAGGAGAACACAGCAGACAUAAUCAAACAGAACUGAUUCUAUGCCACAUCUUCAGGAGCUCCCAGUGCUGGAGGAGAGAGAGCUGUAGCCCUUUGGAUGUGCCAGAAUGAUGGCCACUGGUGAUGACGAGGAAGAUGAUGGUGAUGAAGAAGAUGAUGGCUAACAUUUAAAGUUGUUCUGCAAGGGACAGUAGAGGCGUGGAUGAUGGCUGCUUGCAAACUCACAUAUCUUAUUAUCAUAUUGAGAUGACACCUGACCAAUGCAUUUGAGAAAUGCAAUGCUCUCCUGGAAAAUGUGGGAGGUUGUCUGGAAGGAACUCCAGGCUGUGUUGGACCUGAAGAUGAUGGAAGAAUCAUGUGCACUGUGAAGGUUCCCAAAACUGACAGAGGGAAGCCAACACAAAUUGAUCCUCCUCAAGAUCCACUCAACCCAAGUCCAUGAGAUGAUCACCUGCAAACUCAGUCCUGUGAAGCAUGGAUAGUGCAUGAAGCAGAAAGUGGUGUGCGCAUGUAUGUACAGAUGCAAAGAAGGAAGAACAUGCUAACACUUAAGAAAACGAAAAAAAACAGGAGCGAAGGCACUAUACAACCGAGCAUGCUGGGCCAUAAACAAAAGAUGGCGGCCUUCAAGCUAUUACCAGGCAAGGGGGAUGCUAUACAUAACGUAACUCCUAGGACGAGUCCCAUACGAGUAUGAACUUGGCAGGACUGCUUCACAACACUGCUGUCUCUGACCUCACAUUUUCCCCAAUUUUAUCGGCAGUGAGAUUAUUUAUUUAUAUAAGCUGCUCUUUAACCCUUCUUGCCCAGUGCAGGGUUUGUACACUCCAUCACAAUUAUGAUACAAUCUAUAAUUACAUGAUCACAUUAUUUUUUCCACAGGACACCUGCCUGAUUCAAUGCACAGGAUGGACCUGCUCUGGGGAUGAAACAGGGUUGGUGUAGUGAAGGAGACUGGUCUCUGAUGGACCCCUGCUUCACUGGUUGCAGAAAUCAGAAAGUGUGUGUGAUGGGGUGCCUGCCCCACACUGGCCUAAAAGGGGUUAAAGCAACCCUAGAGAGGCUGUGCAGGAGGCAGCCAAUUGGAGAGGACCCUAGGGAGGCUGUGCAGGAGGCAGCCUAUUGGAGAGGGGCUGCGAGGAGCAGCCAAUCAGGGCUGGGCAGGCCCAUAUAAGAAGAGCCACAGGACAGGGCAGGUCAGUCACUCCCCAGAGCUGAAGGAGGGAGGAGAACUGGCUGCCUUGCAGGUGGAAAACAGCUAGCACCGUGGACAGAGCAGUGCUAGGCAGGAUCAGAGGAGUGAGCCCGAGCUCCUGGCUGACUGCUGGGGCCCUGAGACAAGGGCAGAGAAGGUUCUGAGGCUGUGGGGAAGCGGAUCAGGGAAGUAGACUGCAGGGUUGGAGGGGACACAUGUUGGGGCUGACUGCAAGUUUCCUUGGGCUGAUGUUACAGAAUGGGUUGGGGGGAGCUAGUAGUGAACUGGCUUUGACCGGCUGAGCUGGCUUGCAGCCACUUGGCUGGAUAAACAAGUGAAGAGAUACGGAAGGCCUGAAACGGUAAAGUGUGGGAAUAGAAAACAGCAGUGUUUCCUGCCAGUCUCACCUGUGGACCCUGUCCUUGUGAGUGCCCAGGAAUUCCCCACGCUGGAGCAGCGCCUGCUACGAGCCCUCAAGGACAAGGCAGGAGGGUCUGGGACUGUCCGUAGCAGAAGGGGCAUAAGCAUUGAUGCUUGCUUGCUGGAAAGCAUGUAUUUAGUAAUGCGUGAACGCUGUCAGGCUUAUUAUACUUUGGCAAUAAAACCAGUUAUGCUUCUGCACCUGGCGUGGCUUCACUGAGUGUAUCCGAGCCCCCCACCCCAGGAUCAACAAUGCAGCACAUGGCUGUCAUCUACAGGGUCCCUGGGCUGGGACCUGA